RNAcentral lists this unclassified non-coding RNA (261 nucleotides) under Hevea brasiliensis (rubber tree). Lineage: Eukaryota; Viridiplantae; Streptophyta; Magnoliopsida; Malpighiales; Euphorbiaceae. The record is from RNAcentral.
GUACCAUUCCACCCAAGUUUCUCUGAAGAUAUCCCAUUGAAGCAAGAACAGAAGAUGAGACUGGAAGAGGUAUGUGACUUGAAGCCAAAUUCAGUGGAAGAUGAACCUGUCCAUUCAAACCAAGACCUGUGGAAGAUGCCAUCAUGUUAACAAAAUCUUGCUCCUCCUGAUGCAUCCCCUGUGCCCCAAUGACAGAAGCAAAUUCUUCACCAGUAGCACAUUGGACUGAAUCUACAUGGUAACUAUUUGAGGCAUUGUUAG